GACGAACGCUGGCGGCGUGCCUAAUACAUGCAAGUAGAACGCUGAAGAGAGGAGCUUGCUCUUCUUGGAUGAGUUGCGAACGGGUGAGUAACGCGUAGGUAACCUGCCUUGUAGCGGGGGAUAACUAUUGGAAACGAUAGCUAAUACCGCAUAACAAUGGAUGACACAUGUCAUUUAUUUGAAAGGGGCAAUUGCUCCACUACAAGAUGGACCUGCGUUGUAUUAGCUAGUAGGUGAGGUAAUGGCUCACCUAGGCGACGAUACAUAGCCGACCUGAGAGGGUGAUCGGCCACACUGGGACUGAGACACGGCCCAGACUCCUACGGGAGGCAGCAGUAGGGAAUCUUCGGCAAUGGGGGCAACCCUGACCGAGCAACGCCGCGUGAGUGAAGAAGGGUUUCGGAUCGUAAAGUUCUGUUGUAAGUCAAGAACGGGUGUGAGAGUGGAAAGUUCACACUGUGACGGUAGCUUACCAGAAGGGGACGGCUAACUACGUG
Molecule: ribosomal RNA, 497 nt
Filed under: uncultured bacterium
Lineage: Bacteria
Description: partial 16S ribosomal RNA
Rfam family: Bacterial small subunit ribosomal RNA
Source: RNAcentral